Molecule: ribosomal RNA, 490 nt
Filed under: uncultured Lactobacillus sp.
Lineage: Bacteria; Bacillati; Bacillota; Bacilli; Lactobacillales; Lactobacillaceae
Description: bacterial SSU rRNA
Rfam family: Bacterial small subunit ribosomal RNA
Source: RNAcentral
CCUAUUUGAAAAUUCUUCGGGAAUGGACAUAGAUACAAGCUAGCGCGGAUGGGGUGAGUAACGCGUGGGUAACCCUGCCCUUAAGUCUGGGAUACCAUUUGGAAACAGAUGCUAAUACCGGAUAAAAAGCUACUUUCGCAUGAAAGGAAGUUUAAAAAGGCGGCGUAAGCUGUCGCUAAAGGAUGGACCUGCGAUGCAUUAGCUAGUUGGUAAGGUAACGGCUUACCAAGGCGAUGAUGCAUAGCCGAGUUGAGAGACUGAUCGGCCACAUUGGGACUGAGACACGGCCCAAACUCCUACGGGAGGCAGCAGUAGGGAAUUUUCCACAAUGGACGCAAGUCUGAUGGAGCAACGCCGCGUGAGUGAAGAAGGUUUUCGGAUCGUAAAGCUCUGUUGUUGGUGAAGAAGGAUAGAGGUAGUAACUGGCCUUUAUUUGACGGUAAUCAACCAGAAAGUCACGGCUAACUACGUGCCAGCAGCCGCGGUAAAU